AUGGACCCCGCCGCCGCCGCCGGGGCUCCGGCGGCCGCUGCGCAGCCACCGCCCCCUCCUCCUCCUCCUUACCUGCCCCCGCGGCUGGUCAUCGACGGCGCCGGAGGCGGCUCGGGCGCCGCCGUGAGGGCCUGCCGGCACCACGCCUACAGCCGCAAGCAGAAGUCCCUCGGCCUCCUCUGCUCCAACUUCGUGGCGCUGUACGACCGGGACGACGUGGAGACGGUGGGGCUGGACGACGCCGCCAGGCGGCUCGGCGUCGAGAGGCGCCGGAUCUACGACAUCGUCAACGUGCUCGAGAGCGUCGGGAUUCUCGUGAGGAGGGCCAAGAAUCGGUACACAUGGAUCGGAUUUGAGGGCGUCCCUGCCGCGCUCAAGGAGCUCAAGGAGAGGACACUGAGAGAGAUGUCUGGAUUAGCUCCGCCACCGGAGGAAUCAUCUGCUGCCAAUGUGUCGGACGAUGAAGACGACGAUGAUAAAUUGGGCGAUGCAGAUGGGGACGCCGACAGCGAGAAGCUUAGCCAGUCCCUCGACAAUGCUUCUGAUAAGCCUAACGUGCCCAUGUGCCCACCUAGAUCUGUAGACCAUAGGAAGGAGAAGUCGCUUGGGCUGCUCACGCAGAAUUUUGUCAAGCUCUUCCUCACCAUGGAGGUUGAGACAGUCUCACUUGACGAGGCUGCAAGGCUGCUCCUUGGAGAGAGACAUGCCGAGAGCAAUAUGAGAACUAAGGUUCGUCGACUGUAUGACAUUGCCAAUGUGCUAUCUUCUUUGAACCUCAUUGAGAAGACACAGCAGGUGGACUCCAGAAAACCUGCAUUCCGGUGGCUCGGUCAGGCAAAGCGAAAGGAAGGUGCCACUGUCACGGUUGCUUUACCACCAUCCAGGAAGAUUAUGUCUAGCAAGAGGGCAUUUGGUACCGACAUCACAAACAUUGACAAUAAGAGGGGCAAGUUAGUCUUGGAAACAGAGAACAAACCCAAACUCAUGCAGGGUGGCAGCAGCAUGUUGAAAACUUUCGAGAGUCAGCUCGGGCAAGGGAAGAGUAGUGGCUUUGUUUAUGGGCCCUUCCACCCUGCUGGUGCAAGGAAACAUGAAGUUGAUGAUCAGACAGUGAGGGAGAAUGAGAUGAAGAACAUUCAAGACUGGGAGAGUCUCGCUGUUUCAUUCCGUCCACAGUACCAAAAUCACGCGCUGAAUGAUCUUUUUGGCCAUUAUGUUGAAGCAUGGAAAUCAUGGUACUUGGAUCUUACACGGGAUUCGACCUCAUGA
Molecule: ribosomal RNA, 1269 nt
Filed under: Triticum aestivum (bread wheat)
Lineage: Eukaryota; Viridiplantae; Streptophyta; Magnoliopsida; Poales; Poaceae
Description: partial small subunit ribosomal RNA
Source: RNAcentral